RNAcentral lists this ribosomal RNA (440 nucleotides) under uncultured bacterium. Its description in RNAcentral is "partial 16S ribosomal RNA". It matches the Rfam family "Bacterial small subunit ribosomal RNA", at positions 338 to 795 of the family's 1533-position model. The record is from RNAcentral.
CCUACGGGUGACAGCAGUGGGGAAUAUUGCGCAAUGGGCGAAAGCCUGACGCAGCGACGCCGCGUGAGUGAAGAAGUAUUUCGGUAUGUAAAGCUCUGUCAGCAGGGAAGAAAAUGACGGUACCUGACCAAGAAGCCCCGGCUAACUACGUGCCAGCAGCCGCGGUAAUACGUAGGGGGCAAGCGUUAUCCGGAUUUACUGGGUGUAAAGGGAGCGUAGACGGCAGGGCAAGUCUGGAGUGAAAGGCGGGGGCUCAACCCCCGGACUGCUCUGGAAACUGCCAGGCUGGAGUGCAGGAGAGGUAAGUGGAAUUCGUAGUGUAGCGGUGAAAUGCGUAGAUAUUAGGAGGAACACCAGUGGCGAAGGCGGCUUACUGGACUGUAACUGACGUUGAGGCUCGAAAGCGUGGGGAGCAAACAGGAUUAGAUACCCUUGUAGUC